Molecule: transfer RNA, 76 nt
Filed under: Roseivirga pacifica
Lineage: Bacteria; Pseudomonadati; Bacteroidota; Cytophagia; Cytophagales; Roseivirgaceae
Also listed under: 1 other name
Description: tRNA-His
Rfam family: tRNA
About the family: Transfer RNA (tRNA) molecules are approximately 80 nucleotides in length. Their secondary structure includes four short double-helical elements and three loops (D, anti-codon, and T loops).
Source: RNAcentral
GGUGGUUGUAGUUCAGUUGGUUAGAAUGCCUGAUUGUGGUUCAGGAGGUCGCCGGUUCGAGUCCGGUCUUCCACCC